Long non-coding RNA from Coturnix japonica (Japanese quail), 4023 nucleotides. RefSeq lists it as uncharacterized. The record is from RefSeq and is a predicted model, not a curated record. Lineage: Eukaryota; Metazoa; Chordata; Aves; Galliformes; Phasianidae.
AAAAAAAAAAAAAAAAAGAAAUCCCAUCCUAGUGACAUAUACAGUAAACACAUGGCCAUUAUUUCUUUUUAUUGGUUCUUUUGGUUGGCAAAAAGAGAGUAUUAACAAAAAAGACCCAAUGGAGAAAGUGUUUUAGACACAAGAUAUUGCCAGGCUGCCAACCUGACAUACUCACUGCAAUCCGGAAUAGGAACCUGACAAAUGAUAGAUUUAGGAAACAAUCAGGGGAAAAGAAAAUAGUUUGAAUCAAGCCAAAGCAAAGCCUUACUUGGUGGAAUGGGGAAAACACAUACAAGAAAACAAAAUCUUCAGGGGAAAAAUAUUUGUGGAAGAAGUAAUAUUUAUUCAGACUCAAGGCAAUUUUUACAUUUUCAUGAGGAAAACAAACUGUCUCAGAUCAUUUUCCCUUUCCUCCACUGUGUCAGAACUUUCAUUUUCUCCUUUACAAAAAGUAGGAAAGAGAAAGUGGGUGCCUUUUUAAGAAGCCGAUUUUAAUGAAAAUCUUCUGGCCUUUUAAAAUUAUAUCUCCCAUUUUGCAGCCAUGAACAUAUUAUUUUUUAACUUAUAAAAGAAUCCUUAUUGCCUCUUACAAAAACCAUAUGUUGUACUGGACCAAAUUUCAGAUAAUUACUUAUCUCGCAGAAAUAUCAUGUUCAGCUCCACCCAAGACCAACAAAGAGUGGAGACGGAUAUUACUAAAAGAGAAGAAAAAGGAAAAUGAGGCAUGAACCUCUAAAAAAAUAAAAAGAAAUUAGUAAUUAUUACUAUUUAUUUAUAGUUCACGUGUCCAUUGCAUCAGCCCUUGCACAAAAAUAGGAUGAGGUCCUUCUCCAUUAUGGGGCCUGCCAACAAAACAAUGACUACAGAAAGGGAGACAUUUGCUUUUGACUUCUUGAACACCGUGGCUGAUCUGUUACUUUCUGGAAAUGAGAUAAGGUUUAGGCAUUUGCCAGGAAAGCUUUCUCCCUUACCUACACAAGUUUGACAUUUAAAUAGACACAGCAAUAUUUUUCAGACUUUUUUUUUCACUCUCUCCAAUGGAAAAAGCUUUAGUAUAACUAAAAUUUUAAAAGGGUCACUUCAAUAAUGGUAAAUCUAAAGCAGUAUCAGGUAGGGCUAUAGCUAGCCUCUGCUGAAACACCCUUUUGGAUUUCUCAGUCCUUGAACCUCACCCUAAGAUGAAGGAUUAAAUUAAAAAGAUUGACAUCUUAUCUUCAUUUUUGCUGGAAGAAAAAAAUGCUUUUAUAUUCACAUUUUCAUAUAGGAGGAAAAUUGUGUACCAGGCAGCUGUAUACUUCAUGUUGACAGCUGUAUUUCUCACAGAUGUGAUCAUUCAAAUCUGAGGAAGUCACUUGAGCAGUUUGAGCACAUCCUAUGUAGGCUUCUGGAAAUGAUCAGAGAUACCUUGAAAUUGUCCUAAAGGGAGAAGAGCUCCAGGAGAAUGUACACUUUGUAGCCGUGGAGAUUAUUUUUUCUCUUACGGAUGUGGUGCUCAGGGACAUGAUUUAAUGGAGGGUUGUUAGGGUAGUAUGGUUUGAUUGCCGUUGGACUUGAUGACCUUCAAGGUAUUUUCCAAUUUGAACAAUUCUAUGAUUCUAUAAGAGACGAUAGAGAUCUUUGGUUCUCUACUUUUAUUUUUCAUGCAAGUAGCAAGAGCGAAUUUGUGAAGUCCAAAGAGUUAAUAGAACAUUACACUGCUGGUAUGCCGCAGAAGGCAGGACUGGAUGCUGUUUCUCCUGUGGUGCAUGGUUGCUUGCUGACCUGAUUUUUACAGGUGAAGAAAUCAAAAUAAAAACUGCCUCAGAAUGAUGGAAAAAUGAGCUGUAACUUCACAUCAGUCCAAGUGUGAUGGCAGGGCUGGUACAAACAUUUCUGUCUUUACUGGUUGGGCAACAUUUUCCCUUGUGCCCAGUUCUAAUAUCUGCUUUAAUGCUUCCCAGCCAGUGAUAUGAGGGGAUCCACAGCAAAUCACUCAUAUUAAAAUCAGCGAUCUAAAAACAGCUGAUCCAACAGACAACAAACUUGUCAGUGACACAUAAGAGGCAGUCAAGAGAAAAUCUGCACUGGCGGCAAAGUAAGAGUGGGUCUCCUUGGGGAAAAGGGAAACCUGUUUUCUGUUCUGAUGGAACUCAGACAUAUCAUUUCAACAUCACACCCGCAUAAUUGAUACUUUUGUUUGGGAUUUUCCAGUGUGCAGAAUCAAAACACCAAAUCUUGUGAACUGUGUGAAGAUGAAGGUAAGAAACUCAAGUCAGUCGUAGAAUUGCAAAGCGUUAUAAGUAACCUAUGUGAGUAACUUGCGCUCUCUCAAAUACCUCAUCAAUCUGAAAGCUACAAUGCUCAUAUGUCUCCUCUGCCAAUUCGUUUUAACUGUCAAAGAGGUUGUUUUCAAAGGGCUCAAGUGACAGCUCAGGAAUUCAUCUUCGUGGAUUGGCAGGGCCUGGGAACUGUGUCUCUGAACUGUACAGAGGUCAGUCAUUUAAUUUCAUACUGGUUCACAUGAUUUAUACAUUCUCCAGCUCUUGAUUCAGAACAGGCUGUGCUUCCUCUGCUAGUCAGGAUGUAAUGCCUGUCUAGGGAUUGCUCCCUUCUGUGUAGCUUGUACAAUUACAAAGCACAAUGUUGGUUCUAAAAAAGAUCAAUACAAUAUUAUUAUUCUCGUAUCAAAAGAAGCAAUACGAAGGUGUUCUGUGAACACAAAAUCUGACAAAAGGACUUGUCAGAUGUUAACUGAACAUCCCUCUGACAACAUUUAUGGGCACGGGCAAUAUCAGUGCUCAGUUCUUGGCAUUUGCAAAGUAGUGGUGUGCUAAGGGGUAAGAGGUAUAAUGUACGAGGAAGAAGGAUGGAAUUCAUGAGAGACUUUUCCUAUAGGGAGCAACAGGAAUGCUUAACAAUGUUAAAAACUCAAAAUGUUCUAGUAUGCAUAUUUUUAGACAAAGAAGGAAAUUUAUGAAGUGAUAGAAGAAUUUGUUUGUCCAGCCCUGAUAGUUUCAAAGGAAGAAUCUGAGGUUUCUGUGUUCCCAAAAUGGCCUCACUAUAUUUAGCAUGACAUUUUUGUCACCUCUACACUUCUUUGCUCAUACAGGGUCCUCCGUCUUUGCAAUACUGAGAAGAAUUCAAAGGUAGCCUGCAAAGCUGACUUGGGAGCGCCAUCAAGACAGAAACAUCACCCAGGACUUGCUGAGAAAUUUGCAUCUGAGAUCAGUAGAAUGAUUCCAUCUCAAAUUCAGCAAAUAGUGCAGUAUGAGAGGGAAAGACAUCAUCUUUUUUUGUUCUCUUUUAUUUUUUUCUUCUUUUUUUUUUCCCCCUCCUUUUUCUACUUUUCUUCAUUGCCUUUUUGUUAAUCCUGUUCACUGUGGUCUUCUGUGUUGGGAUAGUUAAAUCCUGAGGACAAUUCUACUCCUCCUGUGCUAAUCGCUGUAAGUUCUCUUUCCCAUCCCACUGAGAUGGAUUUUGUGCUGCUUAGCUGCCUGCCAGGUUAAACCACAACAAAACAGAAGAAAGGAAAAGCCUAAAAAAGUGAAGACUACUCAACGAUGCUUCAAGAUAUGCAGUGUUUCAUCAUAACUUUCUGAACUUUAUUCAGAGAAGUCUGGCAGAUCAGCCACCCUCUACUGGAAUGCAUCCAAGCAUAGCGAAACAUUCCUGAAAACGGAGUAUAUUUACCUUGUAUAGCACCAGAUUCAAAGGGAUAGGCAGGUAACAGCUUGGUGCUGCUGUGUGCAAUUGUCUUUGAAGAAUUCCAAGAUAAAGAAGGAGGUUGAGCCAUGUGGCAUCCCAUUUUACUGCAAGACCUCGCCAUGAGUCAUGUGCACUGAUGUCUGUAUGAGGAUCUGAGAUGUUAUUGUAAGACAAAAGAGUAAACCUAGUGAGGUGUGUCUAAUGUGCCAUUUCAUAUGCUGCCUUGACAGUGGGGUUGGUGAAAUAUGGAAGAGGCCACUUUCUCCCUGGUUCAUGCAUCCUCAGUGCAGGGGUGCAGCUUUAACAGUGAGCUGUCUAAAUAAAUCUACAUAUGGGUGG